This 199-nucleotide ribosomal RNA is filed under the name uncultured bacterium. RNAcentral's name for it is "partial 16S ribosomal RNA". It matches the Rfam family "Bacterial small subunit ribosomal RNA", at positions 1302 to 1500 of the family's 1533-position model. The record is from RNAcentral.
AGUCUGCAACUCGACUACAUGAAGCUGGAAUCGCUAGUAAUCGCAGAUCAGAAUGCUGCGGUGAAUACGUUCCCGGGUCUUGUACACACCGCCCGUCACACCAUGGGAGCCGGGAAUGCCCGAAGUCGGUGACCCAACCGAAAGGAGGGAGCCGCCGAAGGCAGGUCUGGUAACUGGGGUGAAGUCGUAACAAGGUACC